This is a long non-coding RNA of Engraulis encrasicolus (European anchovy), 433 nucleotides long. RefSeq lists it as uncharacterized. The record is from RefSeq and is a predicted model, not a curated record. NCBI's taxonomy places the organism in Eukaryota, Metazoa, Chordata, Actinopteri, Clupeiformes, Engraulidae. The transcript has 3 exons.
ACCGAUGUGCUGGUGGCCUUGCACUAAGAUUUUCAAACACUGGUGGUCCGUGGGGUCAAUUUUACCCCAGCUACAUAGCAAAUGUGUCACAAGUAAUCAGAAACAAACACAUUUUGACACAUUUAUGCUUUCUCAUUUUUUUCACAGGAGCCCUAUCUUGUAUCUUGCUUGGCAGAAGCAGCUGAUGUGGGGAAGACUACCUGUGACAUAAACAGCAUGUCAGACAGGUUACCAGCAAACAACCCACGGGGCAGGAUUGUAAACAAAGCUUUAAUUCAAGGCAACACGGUUAAAGGAGGCAUUUCUAACAACAUCUCAGUUACUUCCAGUCAAGAAGUACAGGUUGUGAACGAAGCACAAAUUGAACAUAACACCGGAAUUGAAGGAAAUAUUUCAAACAACAUAGAAGGUAAGGGGGGAAUAAUAAUAAGGA